CCUACGGGGGGCAGCAGUGGGGAAUAUUGGACAAUGGGCGAAAGCCUGAUCCAGCCAUGCCGCGUGUGUGAAGAAGGCCUUCGGGUUGUAAAGCACUUUCAGCGGGGAAGAAAGCCUUGGGGCUAAUACCCUCGAGGAAGGACAUCACCCACAGAAGAAGCACCGGCUAACUCCGUGCCAGCAGCCGCGGUAAUACGGAGGGUGCGAGCGUUAAUCGGAAUUACUGGGCGUAAAGCGCGCGUAGGCGGUCUGAUAAGCCGGUUGUGAAAGCCCCGGGCUCAACCUGGGAACGGCAUCCGGAACUGUCAGGAUAGAGUGCAGGAGAGGAAGGUAGAAGUCCCGGUGUAGCGGUGAAAUGCGUAGAGAUCGGGAGGAAUACCAGUGGCGAAGGCGGCCUUCUGGACUGACACUGACGCUGAGGUGCGAAAGCGUGGGUAGCAAACAGGAUUAGCUACCCUGGUAGUC
RNAcentral lists this ribosomal RNA (465 nucleotides) under Vreelandella stevensii. Its description in RNAcentral is "partial 16S ribosomal RNA". It matches the Rfam family "Bacterial small subunit ribosomal RNA", at positions 338 to 795 of the family's 1533-position model. Lineage: Bacteria; Pseudomonadati; Pseudomonadota; Gammaproteobacteria; Oceanospirillales; Halomonadaceae. The record is from RNAcentral.